Molecule: ribosomal RNA, 468 nt
Filed under: uncultured bacterium
Lineage: Bacteria
Description: partial 16S ribosomal RNA
Rfam family: Bacterial small subunit ribosomal RNA
Source: RNAcentral
GACGAACGCUGGCGGCGUGCUUAACACAUGCAAGUCGAACGGAAAGGCUCCAGCUUGCUGGAGUACUCGAGUGGCGAACGGGUGAGUAACACGUGGGUGAUCUGCCCUGCACUUCGGGAUAAGCCUGGGAAACUGGGUCUAAUACCGGAUAGGACCGCACUUUGGUGUGUGUGGUGGAAAGGUUUUUCUGGUGUGGGAUGAGCUCGCGGCCUAUCAGUUUGUUGGUGGGGUAAUGGCCUACCAAGACGGCGACGGGUAGCCGGCCUGGGAGGGUGGACGGUCACAUUGGGACUGGGAUACGGCCCAGACUCCUACGGGAGGCAGCAGUGGGGAAUAUUGCACAAUGGGGGAAACCCUGAUGCAGCGACGCCGCGUGGGGGAUGAAGGCCUUCGGGUUGUAAACUCCUUUCGCUAGGGACGAAGCUUUUUGUGACGGUACCUGGAGAAGAAGCACCGGCUAACUACGUG